RNAcentral lists this ribosomal RNA (620 nucleotides) under activated sludge bacterium GC_R2A_S_4. RNAcentral's name for it is "bacterial SSU rRNA". It matches the Rfam family "Bacterial small subunit ribosomal RNA", at positions 56 to 691 of the family's 1533-position model. The record is from RNAcentral.
UGCAAGUCGAACGGAAAGGCCCCUUCGGGGGUACUCGAGUGGCGAACGGGUGAGUAACACGUGGGUGAUCUGCCCCAAACUCUGGGAUAAGCCUGGGAAACUGGGUCUAAUACUGGAUAUGACCUUCUGCUUCAUGGUGGUUGGUGGAAAGCUUUUGCGGUUUGGGAUGGGCCCGCGGCCUAUCAGCUUGUUGGUGGGGUAAUGGCCUACCAAGGCGACGACGGGUAGCCGACCUGAGAGGGUGAUCGGCCACACUGGGACUGAGACACGGCCCAGACUCCUACGGGAGGCAGCAGUGGGGAAUAUUGCACAAUGGGCGCAAGCCUGAUGCAGCGACGCCGCGUGAGGGAUGACGGCCUUCGGGUUGUAAACCUCUUUCGGCAGGGACGAAGCGCAAGUGACGGUACCUGCAGAAGAAGCACCGGCCAACUACGUGCCAGCAGCCGCGGUAAUACGUAGGGUGCGAGCGUUGUCCGGAAUUACUGGGCGUAAAGAGCUCGUAGGCGGUUUGUCGCGUCGUCUGUGAAAUUCUGCAACUCAAUUGCAGGCGUGCAGGCGAUACGGGCAGACUUGAGUACUACAGGGGAGACUGGAAUUCCUGGUGUAGCGGUGAAAUGCGC